This 245-nucleotide ribosomal RNA is filed under the name uncultured Shuttleworthella sp. RNAcentral describes it as "uncultured Shuttleworthia sp. partial 16S ribosomal RNA". It matches the Rfam family "Bacterial small subunit ribosomal RNA", at positions 524 to 768 of the family's 1533-position model. Lineage: Bacteria; Bacillati; Bacillota; Clostridia; Lachnospirales; Lachnospiraceae. The record is from RNAcentral.
UACGUAUGGAGCAAGCGUUAUCCGGAUUUACUGGGUGUAAAGGGAGCGCAGGCGGCGGAUUAAGUCUGAUGUGAAAGAUCGGGGCCCAACCCCGGAGCUGCAUUGGAAACUGGUCUGCUAGAGUAUCGGAGGGGUAAGCGGAAUUCCUGGUGUAGCGGUGAAAUGCGUAGAUAUCAGGAGGAACACCGGUGGCGAAGGCGGCUUACUGGACGAUAACUGACGCUGAGGCUCGAAAGCGUGGGGAG